Sabethes cyaneus is the source of this 295-nucleotide long non-coding RNA. RefSeq lists it as uncharacterized. Lineage: Eukaryota; Metazoa; Arthropoda; Insecta; Diptera; Culicidae. The transcript is spliced from 3 exons. The record is from RefSeq and is a predicted model, not a curated record.
AUCGUUGUGACUACCUUGCCCGUACACGUAUCUCUGGAAUCAAGCCUCCGUUAUUUUCGGAGAUAUAAGCAUAACAGGCAGUAGACAACAGUUGAUGCUCAAGGUCGAUUGUCACGGCAACGGAGCCAAAUUCAUACGAUUAAAAGCACAAAGCAUAAGGAAGUACUGCUAUUGUAAGCAAGCUCACUCCGAAGAACAAAGCGAAUCAAAAGUAGCACACAACCGGCGAUCUUCUGCGAAGCCUAUUUAGGCAGUGUCUUUAUCGAGACCGACGAAAAGCCCUCAAAAGAGGUAA